Molecule: ribosomal RNA, 433 nt
Filed under: uncultured bacterium
Lineage: Bacteria
Description: partial 16S ribosomal RNA
Rfam family: Bacterial small subunit ribosomal RNA
Source: RNAcentral
AACGAACGCUGGCGGCAGGCCUAACACAUGCAAGUCGAGCGAGCAUUUCGGUGCUAGCGGCGGACGGGUGAGUAACGCGUGGGAACGUGCCCUUUUCUGCGGAAUAGUCCUGGGAAACUGGGGGUAAUACCGCAUACGCCCUUUUGGGGAAAGAUUUAUCGGAGAAGGAUCGGCCCGCGUUGGAUUAGGUAGUUGGUUGGGUAAUGGCCCACCAAGCCGACGAUCCAUAGCUGGUUUGAGAGGAUGAUCAGCCACACUGGGACUGAGACACGGCCCAGACUCCUACGGGAGGCAGCAGUGGGGAAUCUUAGACAAUGGGGGCAACCCUGAUCGAGCCAUGCCGCGUGAGUGAUGAAGGCAUUAGGGUUGUAAAGCUCUUUCAGCUGGGAAGAUAAUGACGGUACCAGCAGAAGAAGCCCCGGCUAACUCCGUG